RNAcentral lists this long non-coding RNA (700 nucleotides) under Rattus norvegicus (Norway rat). RNAcentral describes it as "long non-coding RNA NONRATT002151". Lineage: Eukaryota; Metazoa; Chordata; Mammalia; Rodentia; Muridae. The record is from RNAcentral.
AGACAGAGUUGUAGCCACGCAUCCUCAGCUCUAACCCACAGUCUGCUCUGACAGGAAAGAAGAAAAGAAGUUCGGCAUUCAAAAGAAAGCAAGAAAGAAAAUUAAAGUAAGAAUAUUUUUCACCAACAGAGGGGAGGGGAAUAAAAAUUUCCAUAAUACCCAACAUGCAAAUGCAGUGAAAUGGGCACUUUGGGCUACAAAACUAGUGAAACGCAGAUCCUUUCAGCGCGAUUUGGAAAUUGUGGUGAUGGUAAUGAUGACGGUGAUGGUGAUGGUGAUCUAGACUGAGAUGCCCAGGGCAUCAGCCAAGCACGCUGGUGGUGUGUUUGUAAGGACACUACUCAAGAGAGACAUCAGGAGAGCAACCAAGAGGGGAAAACCAGCCCUGAAUGUGGGAUCCAGACAGAAAGGGGAAGGGAAAGUCAGUCAGCGUGCUAUGAGCUUCAUCCCUCCCCAGCGAGUACACCAUGGCCCUGAGACUUGGCCUUCUCCAGCCCUUCCAGAGAGACUCACACCAGCCACUCACGAGAAAGCCGCUGGGUCUUCAGUUUGGGAUGACACUGCUUCAUUGACUCUCCUUGUUCUGAGGAUUCCAGCUGAUGGGCAAAUAGUGGCUAGAUUCUCUCUCCAGCACGUGGAAGGUCACUGUUGGAUUACCUGGCUUUCAGUCACAUUCAUAUGCCAAUCAAAUAAAUCCCCU